This 18602-nucleotide long non-coding RNA is filed under the name Lactuca sativa (garden lettuce). RNAcentral describes it as "long non-coding RNA (LSAT_LNC003166)". The record is from RNAcentral. Lineage: Eukaryota; Viridiplantae; Streptophyta; Magnoliopsida; Asterales; Asteraceae.
UGAACGACUGCGGCCCGUUCGAAUAAUUUGACUGUUCUUAACCAAUUAAAUUAUUUAGGAAGUCAAAACAUGCAAAGUGAAACACAUGCAUAAUACUAAUCCCAUAUGGCCUCAACCCUUUGAGCAUAAAUAAAACACCUUUUAUUUAUCACCAUAUCGAUUACUCAUUAUUUGUUGUUUCGGUUAAUCAACUUCUUACUUGAAUUACAACACUUGUCCCAUGCUCCUAGCAUGCACACAAUGUUUACCUAUGGUUCUUACUUUGUGAAAUAGACCAAAUUGAACACAUUUCCAAUCAUUCUCAUUUCACAACUCCAAAUUCUUUUCCAUAAGUGAAAGAAUAUCAAAUUCUUGCUACUUAUAGAAUAUGCUAGAUUCUAACAUUCUAUGCAAUUAUCCUUUCGUAAUGUCACUGCACCAAAGUCACAAAGACUAUUGCCAAUAAAAUUACAAAGUCCUCUAUUGGAAAUUGUUACAAGACAACUCCUUAGAUAUGAUGUCUCUCAUUCAAAGUACAUUCCUUUGAACAUCCUUUUGCAUAAAAGUUUCUAAUCUAGACAUAGAUUUUCAAUAUUCAUAUUUUCCAAUUUUAUACCUCCAACUACUCACAAGCGACCAAUCCUCGGCGAACUUUGGAUUGUCCUUUGAUAGUUGUUUACUUAUUUUAGUCAAAAGAUCGNNNNNNNNNNNNNNNNNNNNNNNNNNNNNNNNNNNNNNAUUCUAGUCCCUUUUCCCUCUAAAUGCGCUCGACAUUUGGAAAAUUUUAGAAUGGUCAAACAUUAAAGCAUUUGCAAUCGAUCCUAUACCCGAAGCGUAUGGGACACGACUCCAUAAUAUUUCAUUUGCUAUGUUCUCAAAUUUUGAAUUAUGAAGAGGAAUGCCGCAAUCAUAAUCGAGAUUUAAGAACACACUAUGUACCUUUGACUAAAUUUAUUAACAUUCCACAACCUAAGCCUUUAGAUUUGAAAUGAAGCAUAAUAUUCUCUCCCUUAAUUAUAGCAAAACAACUUUACAACCCUUACGACUUUGCAAGGUAUAACUCUUGUUUUCUAUAAUUAAUAUUGCCAACUUGCAAUACUUUCCUUAAUAAUCAUACAAUCAUAACAUUUAUGCUCCCACUAUCAUGAUGAUUAUUAUAAAACAUAACACUUAUGCUCCCACUAGCUUCGACAUGUAUUCAUAAACAUCUUAACUUUCAGAAAAACAAUACUUAUUGAAUUUCUUAAGUUCAUGUUUCUAAUACUUAGUGCUUUGAUAAUCCUUUAUCAAGGCUUCUUGAACUUAUACACCUUUGCCUUCGAUAGUUCAUAUGUGUGUCUAAACAAUUAAGACUAAUUGCCAAACCUCACAAUUCAAAUUAUGGAAAGGGAUACCGUAACCAUAAUCGAAUUCGAGAAUGCAAUUUUACAAUCACUAUCUUCUUAAAAUCUUUCUUAGUGAAAGCAUUUCCUCACAAUCAUUUUCAUGAAGGAGGAAAUCUUAUGACACUUAGAUUUAAACGGUGUAUGUGUUCCUAUCCAUGUGAAUUUGUUAAAACCAAAGUUUACGACAAAUUCAAACUCAUAUGGACCGAACUUUCUUAAUCUUGAUUUCUUGCCUUAUGGUAGCACAGCUGCCCACCAUGUCUUCCAAGUAGUUAAGCAGCUCACCCUUUCCUAUCAAUGUACCUUUCAUUGAUUAAGGUGCUUUGCCUUUUAUGCGUUCAAAAUGAGAACUCAUAGAACUCACAUGCAUAAUUAACUCGAUUGGAUUGGCACAGAAACAAAAUAAUGUCAACACGAUAGGUUGUAAACCUCAACUCGUGUGCUAGUGAUGAUCGAUAAGGUUUAUUUGAUUUGUUCUUGAAACCUUUCAAGACCAUUAAGACUCCCACUGACUCCUUGACAUAUAAGAUUCUCUUGUCAAUAAACAUUUCUUGACAAACAAAUAUUCAAGAGUUAGUGUAGUUUUUAUCAAAACACUUCAUAAAUUGGUCCUAGUUGGUCUUUGUCUUAUCCAAGACAUCACAACUUUCCACAUUUGAUGAAUGUUAUAAACCUUCUUAAUACUUUUCACUCAAUGUCACAAUCUUAACUCUAAGACUUGUUUUGGAACGAAGUAUGAUUGACUUCUUGAUUUAACCAUUUCUUCAAUUCUUGAUUCCUCUUCUUAGACAUACAAUUGUACUAAGACUCACUUAGAGGAUCAAUUGAGAUAUGGUUCUUAAUCAUUAAGACCUAUCAUAAAGCAUAAAAGGUACUCUCCCUUCUUCUUAGAAUGGAGAAACUUUUAUCUUUCUGCCUACUUGAUUCUUCUUAUUCGUUCUGCUAUUGAUUUAAACUUUUUCAAUCAAUUCAGAAUUACACUUAAUCUUGUAAGUAUAAUCAUAUUUACUAAACCUUUAGUAAAUCAUGACGAAUAUCUUUGUUACUCUUAUGGUGGACUUGAUCAACACGCAACUUUGUGUACUCGAUCUCCUAGUCCUUCACUUGACACUUUGUCAAUGAAUUAGUCUAAUUUCCAAAUAUGAAAUUUCUCAUUCAUCGUGCAACCAAGUUGCAUGAUUCCAAGUUUCUGUCCAAUUGAAACUUGGGCGAUGAGAAACUCUCCCUAUUUGGUAAAUUCUCGACUUUCCAUAAAUAACAUAAUAAGAACCAAAUCCAUUAUUGCUAAUAAUAGAAACAUUCAAACAUCAAUUUUUCAUAUACGCCAUUGCAAGGAUAAAUAAAUAAUAUAAAAUCAAAAUUUAUUUUAUUGCGGAAAAAAUUUGUCCUUACAAUGCAAUUCAUUGAAAAACUAUGCUAAUACAUCUUUCUUAGCAAUCUAAUUCUAACUCUAAGUAGUAGCUCAAGAAUCUAAUCUUCGAGAAAUGCGAUCGAAAUCCAUUCCUUCACGGUUAGAUUCUGCUCACUUCUUCCCUUAAGCUUCCUUUCUUUUCUUCGAUCCUACAAAACAUCAAUUGUAAUCUUAUCACAUUAUGUAUUAAGAAUCUAGAAUAGAAGCUUAAAAGAGUUAGUUAAUGGAUUUUACCUAUAUUAGAGCCAUACGUUUCGACUCUCCCAUCUCUUAGAUCUCUUAGGUAAAUGGGGCAGCUUCGUCUCCAAUGCCCUUUCUCUUGGCAAUAAAAGCAAAUUGACUCUUUUGGAACAUGACAUGGAACUACUUCAGACAUUGCCUUUCUCUUAUGAUCAAACUUUUCGAUCAUAGCAUGUCUUUCGUUGCCAUUGUCUAUAUCCAUAGAGGUCUUGAAGGCAGAUUCACCAAUCAACUUUGCUUUUCUAUUGCGCCAAACCAUUGCUGAUUCAGCAGCAAUAAGCAUAUAGGUGAGAUCUAUAAGGGUCACGUCGCGGUUCAUCAUAUAGUACUCUCUUACGAACUCACUAUAUGAGUUAGGAAGUGACUGAAGAACCCAAUCAACAGCCAUUUCCUCACAGACAACGGAUCCCAACAUUCUUAACCUAUCAAUGUGUGACUUCAUCCCUAGGACGUGUGCACACACCGACUUUCCUUCUUUAUGUUUACUUGCCAAAAGGGCUUGAGUGAUCUUGAACUUUUCAAGCCUUUGAACUUGUGGGUUAGGGAGAAUAAUUGGAGGAGGAGGAGGAAGUGAAGCAUGAUUUCUUGUUCCUCGAUCGAAUCGUGGAAUAUCAUCUUCAUGUGGAAUGCUUGUUCCACGGGAUUUGGGAAGACCAUAGUUGUCGAACUUUGACAUCUACAAAACGGGAGAAAACGAAUUCAAGUUAGUUGAUUGAUUGAGUCCUUAGUAAAUCACCCAAAUGAGAUACUAAGGCUAGGACCCAACACAAUAUUCUACAACUCGGGAGAGGGAUGCCGUAACCCUAAUUGCAGAAUAUUUGAAGGUAAGUGAAUGACGAUUCACUAAUUUCCACCAUGAAAAACGAAAAAGAAAUUUAAGUUUUAAAUCUAUGAAAACUCCUAGAUCCUUUGAGAUUCAUUGAACUUUCAAUGGCAUGUUUAAAUCUCGAUAUGCCCCUCUUGUUUGUGACUGGGAUGCCGAGGAUCACAAAGCGGGUGUGAAUAACCAUGCAAACUUACAUGGUGCCCUCACAUGUUACAGUCACCUAUUCGAUGUGCCGGUAAACCACACACGCUCCACCGAACUAUGACAAACAUUGAGUCACCCUUUGCUACCUUUGCUUAGAACCAUUUAGUGUGCCGGUAAACCACACACGCUCCACUAACGUCUUCGCAAGGGCACAAAGUGUAAUUUCAUGGAAUUGCAUCAAUUCACUUUUGCCUAAGUAACUAAGAUUGGGAAUUUUAUGAAAACAUUUAGUUACUUUAAUAAUUCAUUAUACUUAUAAUGGAAGGUUUCGUCCUAUCCUACCCGUUCGGCUAACGACCCUCCACUAGUCAAGAGUGCGGUGGGUAAGAGUGGAUACCCAUUCAAUCGCCAUUUUAUAGGCAAUUUCCUUAAACACCCCUUAUAGACCAGCUUCGUGAAUGAGGCCUACUAACGGUAAGACUGACUUUUACUCAUACAUAUAUAUAAUGUUAGACUUUUAAUGUUAUAUAUAGUAUAGGGUGUAUUUUACACUUUUAAAAUACUAGGUGGUCUAAUUUAACAAUUAUACUUUUAAUUCAAUUAAAUUGUAAACCUAAACUUUUAUGGAUUUAUUAAACCUCUUUUAAUUAUACACCUUAAUUAAUUAAUAAAACCAUAAGGGUGUGAUUUGAACUUUUUCAAAACAAUACUAGGGUUUUAGAAUUUAACAUUCCUAAUUAAACUUUUAAUCAACUUUUAAAUUCCAAAACUUGAGGGCAAGUUUUGAAACAUUUCAAAACAUUAGGGUUUAGAAUUUAAAUAUACAUCAAAAUUAAACUAUUAAUCAAAAUUUAAAUUCCAAAACUUGAGGGCAAGUUUUGAAACCUUUUUCAAAACAUUAGGGUUUCAACUAUUUAAAUUUCAAAACAACAAAACUUUUGGGUUCAAAUUUAAACUAUAAAACCUAAAGGGGAAAAUAUGAAACUUUUCAAAGCACAAGGAUCAAAUAACAAAUAAUCUAAAUUAACAUUUAAUCACAUAAUUAUCCAUAUUUGAUUUAUUUAAUGAUUUCUUGCAAAACAAUUUACCAAUUUAAUCAAAAUAAUUAAUCAAUUAUCACAUAAGGAAACAAAUAUUUUAUUAAUUGAUAAAUAUCUUCAAUUAGAUCAAGAAUAUAGUCAAAUAUAUCAUAAAAUCGGAUUUAUAUUGAUCUAAUAUGAUAAGGCAAGUAUCCUCAAGCAAAAACAGCAAGAAAUCCCGGUUUUCCCUCUCACUGACCAGCCGACUCGUCGAGUCAGGCAUGGACUCGUCGAGUUCAUCAUGAACUCGGCGAGUUCAUCUAAAAAACUCGACGAGUUCUGACCCCAGAAGCACAAAAAACGAAUUUUUUCAACAUACAAAGCAUCAAUACAAUAGAAACCAAUCUAGGCUCUGAUACCACUGAUGGGUUUUGGUCCUAAGAACAUCCUAUGUGCUCAUACAAACCCUAAUGCUUGGAUCUAGGUUUCUCUAUUGUACAUGCAAGUUAUCCAAGACUAUAAACCCUAAUUCUAGCAUUCAAGUAAUCAUAUUAACAUGAGAAUAGGUUUAAGAUGUUACCUUGAUUGUUAUGUAGCAAUAACAAUCCCAAAUCUCCUUGUAUUGACUUUAGAAAGCUUAGAGUCACAAAUGUCACUCCUCUAAUGGUUCACAAACACCAUAAGCAAGAGGAUGAAGAGGAGAGAGGAUGGAGGUUGCCCAAAAACGUGUGAAACCCUAGAACAAAGCUUAGCCACGUUUUUGGUCCUUAAGGGGUCUAUAUAUAGUGAGGCUAUUAGGGUUAUCUAACAAGGAAACCCUAAUUUGGAUGCUUAAGCCCUAAGUAACCCAUGGAUCCCUUUCCUUAAGGCCUUGGACGAUUUCCUUAUGGGCUUCCCCAUAGAAUUCGCCCACUCCUUAUUUUAAGGCAAUCCAUGGCCCAAAUUGCAAUUAUCUUAUAAUUACAAUUCCAGUCGCUUAAGUUUAAUUAAUCUCUUUUAGUCACAAAACUAAUUACCAAUUAAUUCUUGAAUAAUAUUAAUUAAACAAUAUGAUUUCUCCUUUAAUAUAUUAUUCUCAUAAUAUAUUAAUAAAUCAUAUUUAAUCCUUUCUCUCCAUAAUUCAUCCUAUCAAGUUGCUUUGGUGAAGGCAACCCAAAAGGACCAUGCACCAUCGGGUCAAGUACAUACCAAAAUAGUUAUGGACUUAGACACUAAUCCAACAUUUAUAUCCACCACGAGGGAUGCUUGCCGCUUCUACGUGACUUUUAUGGAUGAUUAUAGUAGAUAUGGAUAUAUCUACCUAAUCAAGCAAAAGUCGGAAACCUUUGAAAAGUUCAAAGAGUUUAAGAAUGAAGUGGAGAAUUAGAUGGGCAGUAAAAUCAAGAUGCUUCGGUCAGACCGAGGAGGAGAGUACCUAAGUCUUGAGUUUCACGACUAUCUAAAAGAAUGCGGAAUUGUAUCGCAAUUGACACCUCCGAGAACACCACAAUUGAAUGGUGUGGCUGGGAGAUGUAAUCGAACCUUGUUAGACAUGGUUCGUUCUAUGAUGAGUUGGACUUCGUUACCAAUAUCUUUUUCGGGGUAUGCCUUAGAGACUGCCGCCCACAUCCUAAACUUAGUUCCCACCAAGAAGGUUACCAAGACUCCUUACAAGAUGUGGACAUGGAAAGCUCCCUCGUUAUCACAUAUUAAGGUUUGGGUUUGCGAGGCUUUCGUAAGACGAGAGACUCACAACAAUCUCGAACCUCGUAGUGAGAAGUGUUAUUUCAUCGGCUAUCCAUAGAAGUCUUUUGGCUAUCUUUUCUAUAGACCGAAUGACAAUGUUGUCUUUGUUUCUAGAAGAGGAGUGUUCCGAGAGAGGGAAAUGAUAAGCCAAGAAGACAGUGGGAGGCAAAUUGAUCUUGAAGAGAUUCAAGGACAAAGCGAUGAAGGAACCUCUAACACUGACGCUCAACCCGAGGAGGAAACUCUUGUUGAACCCGUUGACGAGUCCUUACCUCUUAGAUGUUCUAAUAGGGUUAGUGUUGAACCCCAGUUUUAUGGUUUUCAUAUUACUACUGAAGGGGAUACGUUUAUUAGUGAUGUAACACUAAUGAAUUUGGACAAACCUAGCAGCUACAAAGAAGCCUUGGCAAGCCCAGAGUCUGCUAAAUGGAAAGAGGCAAUGGAUAGCGAGAUUCAGUCCAUGUACGACAAUCAAGUUUGGAACUUGGUUGAUAAUGUACCAGGUCGUAAGAAAAUCAGGUGCAAGUGGAUCUUCAAGAAGAAGACGGACAUGGAUGGGAAUGUGCACACUUAUAAAGCGUGAUUCCUUGCGAAGGGCUUUACUCAAACUCCCGGAGUUGAUUAUGAUGAGACCUUCUCACCAGUUGUGAAGAUAAAGUCUAUUAGGGUAAUGCUUGAAAUAGCUGCGUUUCAUGAUUAUGAAAUCUGGCAGAUGGACGUGAAAACCGCUUUCCUUAAAGGGAAGUUGACUGAGGAUGUGUAUAUGAAUCAUCCAGAGGGUUUUGUCGAUGCGAAACAUCCAAAUAGAGUGUGUAAGCUUGAGAAAUCCAUUUAUGGAUUGAAACAAGCGUCUAGCAGAUGGAAUCUUUGUUUUGACGAGAUCCUUCAGGAGCUUGGCUUUCUGUGAAGCGAAGAUGAAUCUUGUGUAUCUGUCAAAGCCAGUGGGAGUAUAGUGGGCUUCCUCGUAUUGUAUGUUGAUGACAUACUACUCAUAGGACACGAUGUCCCAACCUUGCAGGAGGUCAAGUCUUGGCUUGGGAAAUGUUUCGUUGUGAAGGACCUCGGAGAGGCUGCUUAUAUUCUGGGAAUAAGGAUGAUCAGAAUAAGGUAAAGCUUGAUAGAUAAGUUUUGUACUCUAUUAAUUUCUCAGUCCCUCUAGUCGGGUGGGCACCGGUCGGUCAUUCGACCAGAUCCCCCUAAACACCAUACGUGCGGGUCUUCCCGCAUGCGGCUCACACUAUUCGAGGUGGCCCAGCCCAGCAUUCAUUCUAAAAUCCUGUAGUGAAAUUGGGACUGCAAUAUCGCGUGAGUGAAGAAGGGCAAUGCUGCAUGUAAAGGUCUUUCGUCAGAUCGGAUGGCAAAAGCGCAUAUAGAAUUGAUUGAUCUUUCUUCCUAGCCUAGUUCAAUGAUUCCAUUAUAUAAGGGAACUUCUUUACCAUGCCCUUGCCCGGCUGCUGGUUCAUUCAUUCAUUCCAUUCUAUCUUAAUUUAUUUCUAAAGGCGGUAAUCACAUAGCAAGGUUGCCAGGUCGUCUCUCAAUAACAGAAUUUCCUGAGGGUGAGUCUCCGCCCAUUGAGGAGUCUCUUUUUUAUUCUGUUUCGACAGCUUUUUCUAUUUUCGUUUUUGGUGUCCCACCUAUAAAGAUUGAUUUUCUAGUUGAUGGAUAUUGACCACUAGUGGCACACUCGAUAGAUUCCUCAUCUAUACCUUUUGAUGGGAAAAGAAGUCUCGAGCUCCAGUUGAAUCCGGAAAAUAAGGUUAGGGAGUCACACUAAAGGCGGAGCAAGAAGCCCCUAACACGGUCAAGUCUUGCGCGGAACAAUUGGAUACAUCAGUUGAAGAUGCCCCAUCAAUAGCAAGAAGAGAAAGAGCAUACUCGUCUGUCUAGAAAGCAACCUUGCCCGCGUCGAAGACAAGUCUGGCAUUGGAUGUCUAUAGUGCUUAAACAAGUCUGUCAUCGGUGGGAAAAUAGUGAGCUCAAUCUGUCUCUGUUGGCGCUCAUGUUGGCAAAUCCAUAUUGUAAACCCGAGAGAUAAAGAUCUCCAGUGCAUUUGAAAAUGGUGAUGUAGCUGCUGAAGCUUUCUUUGUGGCGGUCGUAGCAGUAUAGUAUAUAAGAAAUCUCCUUCUUAGAUAUAUGAACCGAAUGUCGGGGCAGUCUGGACUAGAUUGAUUAGAAGUCAAGUAAUUGAAACUUGAACAAGUAAGGGGACAUGGAAUGCCUUCUUUAUCACUCUCGCCUCUGAAGCCAGCGUCCAAGUCCCUACAUUCAUCGGAUGGGGCUCACUCAUUAACAACUAGGCCUCCGUCACAUUCUGUUUCUGAAUCAGGUUAGGAUACGACUCUAGAAGCUUCUGAUUUCUUGUCUCAUGAGAGGCCGUAUAAAAUGCUUUGAAAAAAGAAAUCUUUCUGUGAGAUUCCAAGUAUUCUAGAGUUCCUUCUCGCGUUAAUUGCAAAUUCUUAGUCAUUGAGGUUCAUGGGCGAUUCGGAUGUUUAUUUAGGUUUGGAACCCUAUAUUUUUUCCCCUUUCAAAUAAAUAGAAAUGAUAGGAUUUCUCAAGACCAAUGGGUGAAAUAGCACCCUCCGAUGAAAGAGACCAUCUCAUAAGCACUACGAAGGAAGGCAGGGAAGACCGAAUCACUAUCUCCGUGCAAGCAGACCUUCAAAGGACUUCGGCUAACCUGUGAAUGAAAGAGAGAGGCACAGGCAGAAGUCAAGACCUUGGUCAAGAUAUAUACUUGGACAACGUACUAAACCGUUUUAGUAUGGAAAAUUCCAAGAAAGGGGAUUUGCCAAUCCAAAGCAAUACCAAGUUGAGUAAGACUCAAAGCCCGAGUACAGAGGCAUAGAUAGCUGAUAUGAGCCGAGUACCUUACGCUUCCGCAGUAGGCUCUAUCAUGUACACUAUGACUUGUACUCGCCCUGAUGUGGCCUUCGCUUUGAGCAUGGUCAGCAGAUAUCAGGGGAACCCAGGAAAAGCUCAUUGGAUUGCGGUAAAGAAUAUUCUUAAGUACCUACGAAGGAACAAGGAAUGGUUUCUAGUCCUCGGUGGGAGUGAUGAGUUGAGGGUACAAAAGUACAGUGACACUAGUUUUCAGACAGAUCGGGAUAGUUACCAAUCACAUUCAGGUUGGGUCUUUACCCUAAAUGGAGGAGCAGUGAAUUGGAAAAGUUCCAAGCAGGAGACUGUAGCUGAUUCAAUGUGCGAAUCAGAGUACAUUGCGGCAAGCGAAGCGUCGAAGGAGGCUAUAUGGUUGAAGAACAUCAUUAGAGACCUUGGAGUUAUGCCAUUCAUAAAGGAGCUAAUGGAAAUUUUAUGUGAUAAUGAAGGAGCGGUUGCCAUAACCAAGGAACCAAGAGAUCAUGGAAGAUCUCGACAUAUCAACAUAAAAUACCAUCUUAUCAGACAUCGGGUAGAAGAGGGACUCCUCGCUGUGAAGAAGAUAUCAUCAGAAGAAAAUCCAGCAGAUCCCCUUACGAAGGGACUGAGUAGGGUUAAACACUUGCAGUACGCUAGGAGCAUUGGGCUAAAGGAUGAUAUAAGUUUGGAUUAGAUAGGAAACAUGUAAUAGAUAGUUUGUACUUGACAUUUGAUGGAUAAAUAAAGUUGUGUUAUUUAUAAGUAAAGUUACUAUCUUGUGUUAGUUAUUUAUCUAUUGUUUCCAUUUUGCAUGUUUUAACUUCCUGAAUAAUAAGAUUAUUCAAACGGUCCACAGUCGUUCAUGUUUUGGAAGUAGAUGUGAAUGAAGACUAUCAUGAAUUGUUUGUAGAUUGUCUAAAAGGUUUUGGUCAUAGCAAGGGUUUGCUCCAAAGUUCAUGAGUGCUUAUGAAUUUUAUUUCAGCAUUGGAAUAAACCCGCGUUUGCUGGUAUCACUUCGUGGUGUUGUACCUAAAGUGAUCGCAAUGCGAUAAUAUCAUAUAGUCUUAAAACUUAAAAAAUGGUUGUUGUUUGCUGGUUAGUUAUGCAUUGAUGAUGUGUAAACGCAUCAAUAACUUGAUGUUAUAAAACACAUUUUUGUGCAUGACUAAAUUAGUAAAUAAUAGAUGCAUAUGAGUCAAAGUUAAUUUGUUCCUUUUACUCUAUGAGAAUAAAAGUGAUAUCUUGGCCACUUGAUGAUUUGAUUUGACUUAUGUCUCGGGCCCGGUCAGAAUGAGGUUGAUGUGUUCAACUGAAUUCUAUGUCAAACAAAUUAGAGAUCAAGAAACAAGUGUUGGACAAUAAGUAUUGUCAGCAUGAUAUCUAGAACAGAGGAUUAUAUGAUCCCUUAUCUGAAGGACAAGUAGCUGAUCAGAGUUGACAGCGAAGUAAAAGAGCUACGAUUGCUAAUCGGAUUCUGAAGUCAUAUGUGAGAUAUAGUUACUAGACUUAUCCAAGUGGGAGACUGUUGGAAUGGUGUCUAACCCCGUAAAUAUAUUUGGUAUGUACUUGACCUGGUUCUGCAUGGUUCUUUUGGGUUGCCUUCACCAAAGCAACUUGACAAGGUAAUUUAAGGAGAAAGAAAGAAUAUUAUGGUUUAUUAAUAUAUUAUAAGAAUAAUAUAUUAAAGUAGAAAUCAUACUUGUUUAAUUAGUAUUGGUCAUAAAUUAAUUAGGAAUUAAUUUGGUGACUAAAAGAGAUUAAUUAAAUAAAAGGGUAUAAACUGUCAAAUGUAUGAUAGUUAAGUUUUGGGCUAAGGAAGCCUUAUGGACUUAAGGGGGAACGAAAAUAUGAUGGGGAUCCAUCAUAAUUUUGUCCAAGGCCUUAUUCCAGAAGGUUCCUUGGGCUGCUUGGUGGUUAAGUUGUCCAUUAGGGUUUAGACUGAAACCCUAGUAGCCUACAAGUAUAAAUAAGACUCCUAGGCUAUGGAAAUCGGCUACACUUGAUUCCAAGAGAACCCUAGGGCUGAUUUCUAGCAUCUCUCACCCUCUCUCAUAUUUCCUUCUUGCUUGUGGGGUUUGUGAACCAUUAGAGGAGUUACAAUUGUGACUCUAAGCUCAAGAUCAAGAAGAUUACAAGGAUUUCAAGCUACUUGAAAGAGGUAAAAGACUUGGAUCUAUUUUCUUUAUGAUAAUUUCGAAUUAUAUAUGAUAGAUCUAGGUUUGUAAGUCUUGGAUUCAAAGCAUGUAUAAUCGAGAAACCUAGAUCCAAGCAUUAGGGUUUGUAUGAGCACAUAGGAUUGUUUCUUAUGCAUAAAACGCAUCAUAAAGAACAUUGUUAAGUACCUACGGAGGAAUAAGGAAUGGGUCCUUACCCUCGGUGGGAGUGAUGACUUAAGAAUGACAGGGUAUAGUGAUGUCAGCUUUCAGACCGACAAAGAUAAUUUCCACUCUCAGUCGGGCUGGGUAUUUACCAUGAAUAUAGGAGCAAUAACUUGGAAAAGUUCCAAAUAGGAAACUAUAGUUGAUUCAACAUGUGAAUCAGAGUACAUAGCAGCAAGAGAAGCGUCGAAGGAGGAAAUAUGGCUGAAGAACUUCGUUGGAGACCUUGGAGUUGUACCGGUUGUAAAGGAGCCUACGGAGAUUUUCUGUGAUAGCGAGAGUGCGGUCGCCUUAACUAAGGAACCAAGGGAUCGUGGUAGAUCCAAGCACAUCGACAUAAAAUAUCACUUCAUAAGACAUCGGAUAGAAGGACUCCUCGUAGUAAAGAGGGUAUCGUCAGAGGAGAACCCAACAAAUCCCCUUACAAAGGGACUGAGUAGGGUUAAGCACUUGCAGUAUGCGAGGAGCAUUGGGCUGUAGGACGAUAUUAGUUUUAAUGAUUAGAUAGCUAUUUAGAAACGUGUAAUAGAUAAAAUGUAAUUGAAAUUUGAUGAUUAAAUAAAAGGAGUUUUAUUCAUGAUCAAAGUUACUAUCUUGUGUCAAUUGUUUACUAUUGUUUCAUUUUGCAUGUUUUGACUUCCAAAAUAAUAAGCUUAUUCAAACUAUCCACAGUCAAUCAUACUUUGGAAGUAGGUAUUGAGGCAAGACUGUCAUGAAUUUGGCUUGUAAAUUGUCUAAAGUGUUUAGACAUAGAAAAAGUUUGCUACAACAUUCAUGAGUGCUCCUGAAAUAACAUUUGAGUAUUCGAAUAAACCCACGCUCACAUGAAUCACUUCAUGAAAUUUGUCACGAGUGAUUGUGAGAUGAUAAUAUCAUAUAGUCUUCAAACCAAGAUGUAUGAGUUGUUGAUUAUGAGCUGGUUAUACAUUGAUAGUGCGAAAAUGCAUCAGAAACUUGAUGUUAUAAAAAGUGCUAUUGUGUAUGAUUUAACGAUUAGUUAGUACAAGCAUAUAAGUCGAAGUUUAUCUGUUCCUUUUAUCCUUGGAGGAGUAAAAGCAAUAUCUUGGGCCCCUCAAUGAUUUUGUUUUGACUUAUGUGUUGGGCCCGAUCAGGACUCAAUUGAUGUGUUCAAUUAAGUUCUAUGCCAAACAAAUUGGAAAUCGGGAAACAAAUUGUUGGACAAUAAGUAUGACUAUGUUCCAUGUAUUUGUUCGCAUGAUAUCUUAAAGAACAAAGGAUUAUAUGAUACCUUAUCUAAAUUGCGUGUCAAAGUUCGACAGCUGCUUUUACGAGCUACGAUUAUUAGUUGGUUUUUUAAGUCGUACUUGCGGUUAUAGUUAUUAGACUUAUCCAAGUGGGAGACUAUUGGAUUAGGUGUUUAAGACCAUAACUAUAAUUAGUAUGUACUUGACACCGAGAGUAGCAUGUUCCUUUUAGGUUGCAUUCACCAGAACAAUCUGAUAGGAUGGAUGUUUGAGAAAGAGGUUAUUUAUGAUUUACUAAUAUAUUAUAAGUAUAAUAUAUUAAUUGAGAAAUCAUAUUAAUUAAUUAGUAUUGAUCAAUAAUUAAUUUGGAAUUAAUUUAGUGAUCAAUAGAGACUAAUUAAAUUAAUGUGGACUGAUUAUAUAAAUUAGUGAUAUAUAUGGUUUGGGUUAUUGAUCUAUGAUGGUUUAAGUUUAUGUGAGAGUCCAUGAAGAGUUAGUCCAUAUGAGUUAUGGAUCAUAAGCCUUAGUGUAUGAAUUAGGGUUACAUAUGACUCUUGGAAUUGUAACACUAUAUAUGUAACCCCUUAGAGCCCAAAAUCGGGUGCACAUGUAAUAUAGCAACAAUAUAGUUGAUUUUAGGGUGUUCCUAACCUCUCUCUAAAGUCCUCCAAUUGUUGGUAGUGUUUUGUGAAGCAUUUGAGGCAUCACACUUGAGGUGCUAAGCUCUUAAAGGCCAUGUAAUAUAGGCUACGUAAAGAGGUAAUCAUCUAACUAGUUUUUUAUGAUUCAUAUAUGAAGUUGUAUGCCGGAUAGGCUUCACGCUUUGGAAAAAUGAAAUUUGCAUGUAUAACUAGAGAAAACUUAGAUCCAAAGCAUUAGGGUUGUAUGUGCACCAUAGGGAUGUUAUAGUGUUCAAAACCCAUCACCUUCCACCCUUAGCCCCCAUCGCCUCCAAAGUGCCUUAGACAAAACCCUAGCCUCUUUUCAAGUUUUGUGUUCAUCCUUGGUGUUUUUGUGAUCUUGGAAGGAAGAAGAAUGAGUCUCUAGUGAUUGAAUCCAACAAGCAAGUCACAUCCAUCCUUUUUUGCAUCUUCCGUAAUAGUUUUGAGUCCUCAAUUUCCAAUUUAUUAUGAUUCCUCUCUUGUAGAUCUAACUUUCUUACAAUGUUUUAGUCUAUAUAUGAAGUUUGAGUGAUGAAUUGAGAUAAACUUUGCAACUUUAUGGCUCACAUGGUCGUUUGGUCACUAUAUUUGAAGGAUGUAGAAGUUGAAUGGGUUUUGAGAUCCAUGCAUGGAUUUUAGCUUCUUUUCUCAUAAUUUUGACCUAGUUGGGGUGAAGGACAUGUAUGGGUCAUGCAUGUCCAUAAUGUUCAUAUUUUUCUGAACCCUUAAUGUCCUAAGAAGAAUGAUGGCAAGUUAGAGUUGGAGGCUUGACGAAUUGAGAGCUUAAUCCAUUAAGUUGUCUCUAUGCACUUCCCGUGACAUGGCGACUUGCUUGCCAAAACAUGGAGGAUGGUCUGGUCGCGACUAUUUUGUGUAGAAUUUGCAAUGACAUGGUGGCAUUCCUACCACAACGUGGUAGUGGAUUUUGAUUGGGAUCAAGUUGGAUGGCCAUGACGUGGCCAUUUUUUGGUCACGACGUGGAGGUCAGCUAGACCUGACCUUGCUCGUUGACUUUUGAUUUGGUUAACUUUUAUUAAUAUUUCUAUUUUUAGUAGGUAUAUUAAGCAUUUACCUUGUAUGAUUCAUUAGGAGGUGUGUAGCACUCGCUUUGCUACUGUGUGAGUCUAUUAGCUCUCAAUUAUUGUGACAACUAGAAAAUUUUAGGUUUAACCAAGUCUAAGGGGUCUUGGGUAUAAGUAUACCCACAAUGUAUAUCUAUGUAACUUUGAUGCAAUAAUGUUUAUUGAAAGCCAAGAGGGCACUUUUCGUUUGUAUGAUUAAAGACAAUAUACACUUGGAAAUUCACGUUGAAAUAAACCUUGAAACAUAAAUGCAAAUCAAACAAGAAUCAAAACGUUUUAACAAAAAAACAUGUAUUUAUGCCAUGACUUUGAAUUCUCGAUUUGCAAGGCCAUCAUCUUUGUGAUUUCUAUUACUCAAGACCAAAAACACAUCCACGGGAACACUACAAGACCGAAAUCUCUAGAUUAUGGCCCAUUAAGGCCGAAAACUCUUCAAUAUUAGACCGAAAUCAUUGGUUUGUAACACUUUAGGACCAAAAUCAUUAGAUAGGAAUGUAUACCAAGGGAUUUCGGUCAUGCCUAGACUGAAAUCACCUUCUUUAUGGCCGAAAACUCAAGGUUGAUUCAUCCUAGAGUGAUUCCAGUGGUAUACAAAGGAUAAGUUUUGACUAUAAGAUGCGAUAUCCCACCCUAUUUCCCAUGCAAACUCUGCAGUAUCCCAAGCAAUUAACCACCAAAUAUCCAUGAAUUACCCACCAGAUUACCAAGUAAACUUCACAUCAUUUCCUUCCCCAUCUUAAUGCCAAAACCAUUCCCUUAAACACCACCAAUUCCGUUUCACUUACUGUAAAAACUCCAUUAUCUCUCAAGAAGUCAAUAUCCAAGCUUGAAAGGGAUUUGGAUCUUCAAGAACUAUUCUUAGAUUUUGGUAAGUAAUUUCAAGGUUUCUUAAGCAUUCUAUACACUCUUAUGUUAAAUUCAUCCUAUUUACACAAAUUAAAAUGUGUUGAAAACCUUUAGGAUAACAUUACUCUCAAAGAAGAUUAUUAACUCCAUCCAAGUGUUUAGGCUUGGAAACUUCUCAACAUCUCUUCAAAUCAACCCACAAGACCACUGAAGGUGAGUUCAUACCCCACUCUUUUUCAAGAUUUUACAUUUUUUUUUGGGGGAGGGGGGAUUCAAGUAAAACCAUAUUAUAACAAAAAUGUUGUUAUAAGUGUUCAUCUAUAUGUUGUGUAUAAGGUUUAUUUGCAUGCUAUGUGAUUUUACUAGUUAUUUCAAGCUUUCAUGCACAAUAUGCUUAUUUUAUAGUAUAAAAUUUUAUAAGAACAAGUUUAAACAUAUUACAUGAACAAAUGGGAAAAUUAUAACUUUUAUUAUAAAAGUAAAUUUUCUAGUAAGAAUGUGUCUUGAACAAGAUUGGUCAUAGUUAUUUUAUGACGAUAUCCUCAUGGGUUUUAACCAAAACAUUUGUAUUCUAAACCUAUUAUCUUGUAUAAUAAAAUAUAUAAAUGAGUUUACAUACAUUGACACUAUAACUUUUUCUGUUAAACGAUAAUGGGUAUAGUUUGUGGUUCUUUUAAACUACUUCUCAGUUUUUCAGACAUGUUACAGAUAAUUAUUUCAAACUAUAAUUAUGACACUCUAUAUAACUACUAUGGAAGGGAAACGCUUCCUGUAACGCCCCAAUCUAAAAGUAUUUAUUUAUGGAUUCCUGAAAUCAAGAGUAAGGGCAUUUUAGUCUUUUAAGGGCAAUUCGUUUCAUUUGAGAAGGUUUCGGACCGGGGUGUGUUGCUAGAAGCGUAGGGCUUCUCGCCAAAUUUACGUGGAUAUAAAGUUCGUCGGGAACAGACUUAGGAUAAAGGAGAUAUUGUAAUUUGAAGUUAUUGGCAUCAAUGGUCCCUAAGGGAAAAAGUUGGCAAAGAUGUCCCAUGCAUGAUAAGUAUGCAUGCACAUGUUCAUGGGUUUUGGUCCUAAGAACAUCCUAUGUGCUCAUAGAAACCCUAAUGCUUGGAUCUAGGUUUCUCUAUUGUACAUGCAAGUUAUCCAAGACUAUAAACCCUAAUUCUAGCAUACAAGUAAUCAUAUUAACAUGAGAAUAGGUUUAUAAUAUUACCUUGAUUUUUAUGUAGCAAUAACAAUCCCAAAUCUUCUUGUAUUGACUUUGGAAGGCUUAGAGUCACAAGUGUCACUCCUCUAAUGGUUCACAAACACCAUAAGCAAGAGGAUGAAGAGGAGAGAGGUUAGAGGCUGCCCAAAAAACGUGUGAAAACCUAGAAGGCUGCUUGUCCACGUUUUUGGUCUUAAGGGGUCUAUAUAUAGUGAGGCAAUUAGGGUUAUCUAACAAGGAAACCCUAAUUUGGUUGCUUAAGCCCUAAGCAACCCAUGGAGCCCUUUCCUUAAAGCCUUGGAUGAUUUCAUAUGGGCUUCCCCCAUAGAAUUCGUCCACCUUAUAAUAAAAGGCAAUCCAUGGCCCAAAUUGCAAUUAUCUUAUAAUUACAAUUCCAGUCCCUUAAGUUUAAUUAAUCUCUUUUAGUCACAAAACUAAUUACCAAUUAAUUAUUGACUAAUAUUAAUUAAACAAUAUGAUUUCUCCUUUAAUAUAUUAUUCUCAUAAUAUAUUAAUAAAUCAUAUUUAAUCCUUUCUCUCCAUAAUUCAUCCUAUCAAGUUGCUUUGGUGAAGGCAACCCAAAAGGACCAUGCACCAUCGGGUCAAGUACAUACCAAAAUAGUUAUGGACUUAGACACUAAUCCAACAGUCUCCCACUUGGAUAAGUCUAAUAACUAUUAUGCGUAUGACUUCAGAUCCUGAUCUGCAAUCGUAGCUUUCCAAAGCCGCUGUCAACUCUGAUCCUAUCAGAUACGCGUGUCCUUAGAUAAGGGAUCAUAUAUUCCUCCAUUCUAGAUAUCAUAUGAGAUAUGAUUUCAAAUCAUUCUCUUUGUACUAUAUCUCGAUUUCCGAUUUAUGACGACUGACUAAUUGAACAAAUCAAAUUAGCCCUAGCCCGGCCGAGCAUUUACGUUUGUCAUCACUAAAUCAUCGAGGGGCCCAAAGAUAUCGCUUUUAUCCUACUUUGGAUAAAAGGAACGGAUAAACUUUGAUACAAUGCUUGCUUGCACUCACUCACCGAAUCACACACAACAAUAUGUUUUAUAACACCAAGUUACUAGUGCGUUUACAUAUUAUCAAUGUGCAACCGAUUUGCAAGAUACAACUCACACAUCUCGGUUUCAAGAAUAUAAGAUGUUAUCGUCUCACCAAUCACUCGUGAUACAAUUCAUGGAGUGAUCCAAGUGAGCGUGGGUUUAAUCCAAUGCUCAAAUCAUAUUCAUAAGCACUCAUGAACGUUGCAGCAAACAUUUGCUUAUGUCUAAUACUCUUUUAGACAAUCCACACACCAAUUCACGACAGUCUUCAUUCAUAUCUACUUCCAACAUAUGAACGACUGUGGCCCGUUUGAAUAAUUCGAUUAUUCUUAAUAAACUCAAUUAUUCUGGAAGUCAAAACAUGCAAAUGUGAAACACAAGAAUAAUACUAAUCCCAUAUGGCCUCAAACCUUUGAGUAUAAAUAAAACACCUUUUAUUUAUCACCAUAUUGAUUACUCAUUAUUUGUCGUUUCGGGUAAUCAACUUCUUACUUGAAUUCCAACACUUGUCCCAUGCUCCUAGCAUGCACACAAUGUUUACCUAUGGUUCUUACUUUGUGAAAUAGAUCACAUUGAACACAUUUCCAAUCCUUCUCAUUUCAC